GACGAACGCUGGCGGCGUGCUUAACACAUGCAAGUCGAACGGAAAGGCCUGCUUUCCCUUGUGGAUUGCGGGUACUCGAGUGGCGAACGGGUGAGUAACACGUGAGUGAUCUGCCCCCAACUUGGGUAUAGGCCUGGGAAACUGGGUCUAAUUCCCGAUAGGACUGCAGGGUGGUGCCUGUGGUGGAAAACGAUUUUCUAGUGGUUGGGGAUGAGCUCGCGGCCUAUCAGCUUGUUGGUGGGGUAAUGGCCUACCAAGGCGGCGACGGGUAGCCGGCCUGGGAGGGUGGACGGCCACAGUGGGACUGAGAUACGGCCCAGACUCCUACGGGAGGCAGCAGUGGGGAAUAGUGCACAAUGGGCGGAAGCCUGAUGCAGCGACGCCGCGUGGGGGAUGACGGCCUUCGGGUUGUAAACUCCUUUCGACCGCGAGGAAGCCACCUGGUUGGAAGGGUGGUGACGGUAGUGGUAGAAGAAGCACCGGCUAACUACGUG
RNAcentral lists this ribosomal RNA (494 nucleotides) under uncultured bacterium. RNAcentral describes it as "partial 16S ribosomal RNA". It matches the Rfam family "Bacterial small subunit ribosomal RNA", at positions 28 to 507 of the family's 1533-position model. The record is from RNAcentral.